This 481-nucleotide ribosomal RNA is filed under the name Oxysarcodexia thornax. Its description in RNAcentral is "partial small subunit ribosomal RNA". The stretch from base 113 to 479 matches the Rfam family "Bacterial large subunit ribosomal RNA", at positions 2072 to 2648 of the family's 2925-position model. The record is from RNAcentral. Lineage: Eukaryota; Metazoa; Arthropoda; Insecta; Diptera; Sarcophagidae.
AUAAUCAUUAGUCUUUUAAUUGAAGGCUGGUAUGAAUGGUUGGACGAGAUAUUAACUGUUUCAUAAAAAUUUAUAAUAGAAUUUUAUUUUUUAGUCAAAAAGCUAAAAUAAAAUUAAAAGACGAGAAGACCCUAUAAAUCUUUAUAUAUAAAUUAUUAGAAUUUUGUAGAUUUUUUUUAUUAUAAUAAUUGAUUAUAUUUUAUUGGGGUGAUAUUAAAAUUUAAUAAACUUUUAAUUAUUAAAAUCAUUAAUUUAUGACUAAUUGAUCCGUUAAUAACGAUUAAAAAAAUAAGUUACUUUAGGGAUAACAGCGUAAUUUUUUUGGAGAGUUCAUAUCGAUAAAAAAGAUUGCGACCUCGAUGUUGGAUUAAGAUAUAAUUUUAGGUGUAGCCGCUUAAAUUUUAAGUCUGUUCGACUUUUAAAUUCUUACAUGAUCUGAGUUCAAACCGGCGUAAGCCAGGUUGGUUUCUAUCUUUAAUAA